This 997-nucleotide ribosomal RNA is filed under the name uncultured bacterium. RNAcentral's name for it is "bacterial SSU rRNA". It matches the Rfam family "Bacterial small subunit ribosomal RNA", at positions 356 to 1376 of the family's 1533-position model. The record is from RNAcentral.
GGGGGAUAUUGCACAAUGGGGGAAACCCUGAUGCAGCGACGCCGCGUGGAGGAAGAAGGUUUUCGGAUUGUAAACUCCUGUCGUUAGGGACGAUAAUGACGGUACCUAACAAGAAAGCACCGGCUAACUACGUGCCAGCAGCCGCGGUAAAACGUAGGGUGCAAGCGUUGUCCGGAAUUACUGGGUGUAAAGGGAGCGCAGGCGGGAAGACAAGUUGGAAGUGAAAACCAUGGGCUCAACCCAUGAAUUGCUUUCAAAACUGUUUUUCUUGAGUAGUGCAGAGGUAGAUGGAAUUCCCGGUGUAGCGGUGGAAUGCGUAGAUAUCGGGAGGAACACCAGUGGCGAAGGCGGUCUACUGGGCACCAACUGACGCUGAGGCUCGAAAGCAUGGGUAGCAAACAGGAUUAGAUACCCUGGUAGUCCAUGCCGUAAACGAUGAUUACUAGGUGUUGGGGGAUUGACCCCCUCAGUGCCGCAGUUAACACAAUAAGUAAUCCACCUGGGGAGUACGACCGCAAGGUUGAAACUCAAAGGAAUUGACGGGGGCCCGCACAAGCAGUGGAGUAUGUGGUUUAAUUCGAAGCAACGCGAAGAACCUUACCAGGUCUUGACAUCCGAUGCAUAGCACAGAGAUGUGUGAAAUCCUUCGGGACAUCGAGACAGGUGGUGCAUGGUUGUCGUCAGCUCGUGUCGUGAGAUGUUGGGUUAAGUCCCGCAACGAGCGCAACCCUUAUUGCCAGUUACUACGUUAAGAGGACUCUGGCGAGACUGCCGUUGACAAAACGGAGGAAGGUGGGGAUGACGUCAAAUCAUCAUGCCCUUUAUGACCUGGGCUACACACGUACUACAAUGGCGUUAAACAAAGAGAAGCAAGACCGCGAGGUGGAGCAAAACUCAAAAACAACGUCUCAGUUCAGAUUGCAGGCUGCAACUCGCCUGCAUGAAGUCGGAAUUGCUAGUAAUCGCAGAUCAGAAUGCUGCGGUGAAUACGUUCCCG